UACAGAGGGGGCAAGCGUUGUUCGGAAUUACUGGGCGUAAAGGGCGCGUAGGCGGCCUGUUAAGUCGGACGUGAAAUCCCCGGGCUCAACCCGGGAACUGCGUCCGAUACUGGCAGGCUUGAAUCCGGGAGAGGGAUGUGGAAUUCCAGGUGUAGCGGUGAAAUGCGUAGAUAUCUGGAGGAACACCGGUGGCGAAGGCGGCAUCCUGGACCGGUAUUGACGCUGAGGCGCGAAAGCCAGGGGAGCAAAGCGGG
RNAcentral lists this ribosomal RNA (254 nucleotides) under uncultured bacterium. RNAcentral describes it as "partial 16S ribosomal RNA". It matches the Rfam family "Bacterial small subunit ribosomal RNA", at positions 524 to 777 of the family's 1533-position model. The record is from RNAcentral.